RNAcentral lists this ribosomal RNA (255 nucleotides) under uncultured bacterium. Its description in RNAcentral is "partial small subunit ribosomal RNA". It matches the Rfam family "Bacterial small subunit ribosomal RNA", at positions 26 to 285 of the family's 1533-position model. The record is from RNAcentral.
AGGACGAACGCUGGCGGCGUGCUUAACACAUGCAAGUCGAGCGGAAAGGCCCUUCGGGGUACUCGAGCGGCGAACGGGUGAGUAACACGUGAGUAAUCUGCCCCUAGCUCUGGGAUAGCUCCGGGAAACCGGGAUUAAUACCGGAUACGACCACCUUAGACAUCUUUGUGGGUGGAAAGAAUUUCGGCUAGGGAUGAGCUCGCGGCCUAUCAGCGUUGUUGGUGGGUGACGGCCUACCGAAGGCGACGACGGGUA